UUCCAUAUUUAUUGUUAGUUCAUUUUAUACAAGUUUCAGAUCGAAUAGAAUUCGCCCAGCUCUUUAGCAUUUUCUUCCUUAAGAAUGCGAGGUUUUCUUCUCGUCGGAAUUAUCACCGUCAUAAUAGCUAUUGCUUCCUUGACACGCUCAGCAACUGGAACGGAGCAUGAAGACGAAAACCAGAUGGAAAUUCCAACUCGAAUUCGUCAGGAGAAGUUCUUCUUCAACAUUUUUGACCCCUUAUUCCCCUGGAAGAGAACAACAACCACACCCAAUUCGACGGGGCAAGCAGGAUAAUUUAUGAUCUUUUACGAUCUAAUCAAAGUUGAGAUCGAACGGGAAGCUGAAUAUUAACUAAAUUUGGAGCAGCUGAAAUUUUAAUGAAACGGGAGACAUAUGUAUCACAAUUCUCCCAUUCGUUUCAUAUAUUUUCCUUGGCUAAUAUUGUACAUAAUUCUUACUUACUAAUUUGAUGUAAAAAGGUAUACAUUUUGUCAUUUUUUGUAAUUAAACGGGAGAAAUUUUACUUUAACAUGCAAAAA
Long non-coding RNA from Folsomia candida, 542 nucleotides. RefSeq lists it as uncharacterized. The record is from RefSeq and is a predicted model, not a curated record. The transcript is spliced from 3 exons. NCBI's taxonomy places the organism in Eukaryota, Metazoa, Arthropoda, Collembola, Entomobryomorpha, Isotomidae.